UGUUUCAUCUUAGUAAGGCCUGUGACACAGGAGGCUUGACUUCAUUUGAAUGUUGUAUCGCUUGAGUUAUUGUUUCACAUAGCUUAAAUUUCUGUCCCCCAGCCCAUAUGUCUUCUGACCUUUACAGGCCUUAGAACGUGCUUGCUAAACACAACCAAACCAGAAUGAGGAGUGGUGGAGUUCAAGAGACUCAGGAACGUAAGAGGAAUGCACAGCACAGCCCGUUCAUGCCAAAGAUGCCCUGCCAUUUUCAUCCAAGAGGCCAGAUGGUCCCUGGCCUUUGAACAGGACUAGACCCAGAGACCACCCACAUUCAAUGCAAAUAAACUGCAACAUCUACAUUGAUCCUACUCCAAGACCCCCUGGGAUCAGAUCUUUGGACUGUGCCAGAUCAACCAUACUGCUAGCUUCUCUCUUCUAGGUCCCUGAACACGCACAGACACUGUCCCAUGGAAAUGGUUGGGCAAUAGGAGCCACGAAGUAAAACAGCCACUCCCCGCCCAGUCAGCUGCCCAUCAGCUGUCCACCGCCCACAAGAGGGGAUGUCAUGCAACUGGGGGCCCAGCCCCUCAUUCCUGACAGACCAGAGAGCCAGGGCCCCAGGCCCUCUCCCUCCCACCUCCCCAGCUUAGGAGCAGUGACAGUACCCAGUGAGGAACUCCCAGUAAACUAUUCAUCUCUGCCAGUUCCGGGCCCCGCUGAUGGACAAGGCCCAUGUUAGAGCUCUGAGACUUAGGUCAGACUCCAGAGGGGCCAGCACUAGCCCCAAGUGCUCUGACUUCAUCAUGGUACCCUAGAGCUUAAGCUGCUCAGUGGAAGACUCAGCUCUCCCAAUUUCCUCCAUAGGGGGCUGCUGACUGUUACAUAGCCAGGCAAGGGGUUGCCCUGAAGAGAAGGAGUGUUACCUAGGCCUUGUCCUUUAGCUGCGCCCCCACCGUCUA
Molecule: RNA transcript, 941 nt
Organism: Symphalangus syndactylus (siamang)
Lineage: Eukaryota; Metazoa; Chordata; Mammalia; Primates; Hylobatidae
Gene name: protein enabled homolog
Source: RefSeq, a predicted model, not a curated record